UCCUUCCUUAAUUUUUGUGUUUAUACUUGUAUAUAUUCGACCCUCAGCCUCAUUGUAAAAGGUCCCCGACCAACACAAACAACACUUCAAUACAAACUCUAUCAAAUUCUCUACGAAUUCUCUACAAUAUCAAUCUUUUUAUCCAUGUUCUAGCAUAGUUUUCUUCUUCUUUUCAUCGUUUUCUUUACCUUCUACACUUUAUCACUUUCUUUACAUUCCGCACUUUACUUUCAUGCAAUUUCUCUUCCGCGUCUUUAAAUUCAUGCACUUUAAUUUAUCGCAAUUACUUCAUGCAAUUUACGUUUCAUGCAAUUUAAAUUUUCGCUUUUAAAUUCUUGUUCUUUUACUUUUCGCACUUUAUUUCUUGCAAACUUAUACAAAAAUCACAAAAAAAACAUGAGCAACAUCGGUGAAAACGCCGAAAGUCCUUGCAACAAAGGCAAGAGAACCCAACGGCCGAGACGGUUCCUUCCUCGGCCUACAAUCACUUGGGAGAAGUCAGAUCAAGCGCAAAAUAUUUAUCAAAAACCUCGCUUGGCCAACAGGCCGCGAGUUGGCACGCCCGCGUAAAUUUUGAAGGACGAUUGCUCUCAGGCCCUCGGCCCUAAUCUCGGCCGAGACGAUUUUUGAGCAAAC
This 636-nucleotide long non-coding RNA is filed under the name Fragaria vesca (wild strawberry). RNAcentral describes it as "long non-coding RNA (FVES_LNC004842)". Lineage: Eukaryota; Viridiplantae; Streptophyta; Magnoliopsida; Rosales; Rosaceae. The record is from RNAcentral.